GCCGGGAUGACAGAGCGGCUAAAUGUGCCAGCCUGGAAAGCUGGUGGCGCUUCGGUGCCACACGAGUUCGAAUCUCGUUCCCGGCG
This 86-nucleotide transfer RNA is filed under the name archaeon. RNAcentral's name for it is "tRNA-Ser". It matches the Rfam family "tRNA". Rfam says of the family: Transfer RNA (tRNA) molecules are approximately 80 nucleotides in length. Their secondary structure includes four short double-helical elements and three loops (D, anti-codon, and T loops). The record is from RNAcentral.